Molecule: small RNA, 177 nt
Filed under: Chelonoidis abingdonii (Abingdon island giant tortoise)
Lineage: Eukaryota; Metazoa; Chordata; Testudines; Testudinidae
Description: TUC338 (ENSCABG00000000521.1)
Source: RNAcentral
CUGACAGCCCUGGAGUCUAGUCUUCUAUUUAUCCAAAGAAAGGAACAGCAUGGGUACCGAAAGCACAGGCUUCCUUACAUUGCCUCUCCAAACAUGCCUUAUUUUUGACCUCAAGCAGUGACCACCAAAGGGAAGACUGGAUGCUGUGCUCACUGAGAACUCAGCCUUCCUGCAAAC